GACGAACGCUGGCGGCAUGCCUAAUACAUGCAAGUCGAACGCUGAAGCACCCUUCUUGCAGAGUGCGGAUGAGUGGCGAACGGGUGAGUAACACGUGGGGAAUCUGCCUAUAAGUGGGGGAUAACAUUCGGAAACGGAUGCUAAUACCGCAUAUAUUCUUGAACCGCCUGGUCCUUGAAAGAAAUACGGCUUUUCUGUCGCGUAUAGAUGAUCCCGCGGCGUAUUAGGUAGUUGGGGGGGUAAAGGCCUACCAAGACAAGGAUACGUAGCCGACCUGAGAGGGUGAUCGGCCCCCCUGGGACUGAGACACGGCCCAGACUCCUAUGGGAGGCAGCAGUAGGGAAUCGUACACAAUGGGCGGAAGCCUGAUGGAGCAAUGCCGCGUGAAUGACGAAGGUCUUCGGAUCGUAAAGUUCUGUUAUUAGAGAAGAACAAGUCAAGGAAUAACUGUCUUGACUUUGACGGUACCUAACCAGAAAGUAACGGCUAACUACGUG
This 497-nucleotide ribosomal RNA is filed under the name uncultured bacterium. Its description in RNAcentral is "partial 16S ribosomal RNA". It matches the Rfam family "Bacterial small subunit ribosomal RNA", at positions 28 to 507 of the family's 1533-position model. The record is from RNAcentral.